RNAcentral lists this ribosomal RNA (466 nucleotides) under uncultured eukaryote. RNAcentral's name for it is "SSU rRNA". It matches the Rfam family "Eukaryotic small subunit ribosomal RNA", at positions 587 to 972 of the family's 1831-position model. The record is from RNAcentral.
AGCUUCAAUAGCGUAUAUUAAAGUUGCUGCGGUUAAAAAGCUCGUAGUUGGAUCUGUGUCUCGCACUGCCGGUUCAUCGCCCGUCGGUGUAACUGGUCGGAUGCGAGAUGUCAUGCCGGUAGGGGUGUCUAGCUGCGAGGUGCCCGCGAGGUCGAAUUUACUCUUCCGGACGGUCCCUCGUAAGCGGCCCCGGCUCAAUCCUGCUUUGGUGCUCUUUACUGAGUGUCGAGGUGGGCCGGCAAUUUUACUUUGAACAAAUUAGAGUGCUCAGAGCAGGCAAGUUUUGCCUGAAUGGUGGUGCAUGGAAUAAUGGAAGAGGACCUCGGUCUGAAUUUGUUGGUUUAACGGAUCGGAGGUAAUGAUUAAUGGAGACAGGCGGGGGCAUUCGUAUAUUGUGGCUAGCGGUGAAAUGCUUUGACCCACAAUAGACGAACUACAGCGAAAGCAUUUGCCAAGGAUGUUCUCG